UAUGCCAUUAAUUAUUGGUCCAAGGGAAAUAUGGAGGCUUUGUUUUUGGAACAUGAAGGGUACUUUGGUGCUUUGGGGGCUUUUUUGUUGAGUCAAGGUAUUACUCAUGAGGAUUAUAGUGGUGGUGGUGGUGGUAC
Molecule: non-coding RNA, 137 nt
Filed under: Ditylum brightwellii
Lineage: Eukaryota; Bacillariophyta; Thalassiosirophyceae; Lithodesmiales; Lithodesmiaceae
Source: RNAcentral